CCUACGGGAGGCAGCAGUAGGGAAUAUUGCUCAAUGGGGGAAACCCUGAAGCAGCAACGCCGCGUGGAGGAUGAAGGUUUUCGGAUUGUAAACUCCUUUUGUUAGAGAAGAUAAUGACGGUAUCUAACGAAUAAGCACCGGCUAACUCCGUGCCAGCAGCCGCGGUAAUACGGAGGGUGCAAGCGUUACUCGGAAUCACCGGGCGUAAAGAGCGCGUAGGCGGGAUAGCAAGUCAGAUGUGAAAUCCUAUGGCUUAACCAUAGAACUGCAUUUGAAACUGUUAUUCUAGAGUAUGGGAGAGGUAGGUGGAAGUCUUGGUGUAGGGGUAAAAUCCGUAGAGAUCAAGAGGAAUACUCAUUGCGAAGGCGACCUGCUAGAACAUAACUGACGCUGAUGCGCGAAAGCGUGGGUAGCAAACAGGAUUAGAUACCCGAGUAGUC
RNAcentral lists this ribosomal RNA (440 nucleotides) under uncultured bacterium. Its description in RNAcentral is "partial 16S ribosomal RNA". It matches the Rfam family "Bacterial small subunit ribosomal RNA", at positions 338 to 795 of the family's 1533-position model. The record is from RNAcentral.